CGGAACUAACAGAUUUACUUCGGUAAUGACGUUAGGAAAGCGAGCGGCGGAUGGGUGAGUAACACGUGGGGAAUCUGCCCCAUAGUCUGGGAUACCACUUGGAAACAGGUGCUAAUACCGGAUAAGAAAGCAGAUCGCAUGAUCAGCUUUUAAAAGGCGGCGUAAGCUGUCGCUAUGGGAUGGCCCCGCGGUGCAUUAGCUAGUUGGUAAGGUAAAGGCUUACCAAGGCGAUGAUGCAUAGCCGAGUUGAGAGACUGAUCGGCCACAUUGGGACUGAGACACGGCCCAAACUCCUACGGGAGGCAGCAGUAGGGAAUCUUCCACAAUGGACGCAAGUCUGAUGGAGCAACGCCGCGUGAGUGAAGAAGGUUUUCGGAUCGUAAAGCUCUGUUGUUGGUGAAGAAGGAU
This 408-nucleotide ribosomal RNA is filed under the name uncultured Lactobacillus sp. RNAcentral describes it as "bacterial SSU rRNA". It matches the Rfam family "Bacterial small subunit ribosomal RNA", at positions 67 to 453 of the family's 1533-position model. The record is from RNAcentral. Lineage: Bacteria; Bacillati; Bacillota; Bacilli; Lactobacillales; Lactobacillaceae.